GGGGGAAAAUUAAUAAAUAUAACUUAAUAAAAAAAUUUUUAAUAUUAAAAUAUUUAAUGGGGGUUAAAGUAUAUUUAAUAGAAAAAAUUAAAAAAUUUAUAGUAAAAUAGUAUUGUAUAAGAAAUUUGAAAUAAAUGAAAAUAAAUUUAAAUAAAAGUAAAUUUAAUUUAUUGUAUCUUGUGUAUCAGAGUUUAUUAAUAAAAGUUUUUAAGAAAAAAUUUCUCGAAUUUAAAAGAGUUAAUUAAUUAAUAAAGUUAAUGUUGAAUAAUUAUUUUAAAUAAUUAAUUAGAAAUGAAAUGUUAAUCGUUUUUAAAUAUAUCUAGUUUUUUUAGAAAAAAAUUUAAUUUUAAAUAUAAAUUUUUAAUUUUUUGUUUAUGAAAAAUUUAAAAUUUAUAUUAAAUAUUUUAAGGGAUAAGCUUUAAAAUAAAUAAUUAUAAUAUGAUAAAAUAAAUUUAAAUUAAAAUUUUUAGAAUUUAUAUUGUUAAUAAAUUAUAAUUUAUUAUAAAUAAUUUUAUUAAAUAGAAAAUUUAAUCUUUUUGAAUUUAAUUUUUUAUAAAAAAAUUUUUUUUAAUUAUAUAAAAUUAGUUAUAAUGAUAAAAUUAGUAUAUAAAUAAAAUAAAAAUAAAUAAAUAUUUUUUUUAAUUUUAAUAAAGGAAUUCGGCAAAAAUUUAUAUUCACUUGUUUAUCAAAAACAUGUCUUUUUGUUAAUAAUUUAAAGUCUAAUCUGCCCACUGAUUUUUAAAAUUAAAGGGCUGCAGUAUUUUGACUGUACAAAGGUAGCAUAAUCAAUAGUCUCUUAAUUGGUGACUUGAAUGAAAGAUUUGAUGAAAUAUAAACUGUCUCUAUUAAAUUUGUAAAAUUUAAUUUUUUAGUUAAAAAGCUAAAAUUUUUUUAAAAGACGAGAAGACCCUAUAGAGUUUUAUAAUUUAUUUAUUUAUAAUUUUGUUUAAAUAUUAAAGUUAUAAAUAAAUAAAUUAUUUUAUUGGGGUGAUAGAAAAAUUAAAUAAACUUUUUUUUAAAUUUUUACAUUGAUUUAUGAAUAUAUGAUCCGUAAUUUACGAUUAAAAGAUUAAAUUACCUUAGGGAUAACAGCGUAAUUUUUUUUUUUAGUUCAAAUAAGAAAAAGAGUUUGCGACCUCGAUGUUGGAUUAAGAUAAAAUUUAAAAUGCAAAAGUUUAAAAUUUUUGAUCUGUUCGAUCAUUAAAAUCUUACAUGAUCUGAGUUCAAACCGGUGUAAGCCAGGUUGGUUUCUAUCUUUAAAAAAAUAAAAUACUUUAGUACGAAAGGAUUAAGUAUUUAAAAUAAUUUUAAAUUAAAGAAUAUUAAUAAUAGUAAUUAUAAAUU
RNAcentral lists this ribosomal RNA (1344 nucleotides) under Zerynthia polyxena. Its description in RNAcentral is "16S ribosomal RNA". The stretch from base 1085 to 1245 matches the Rfam family "Eukaryotic large subunit ribosomal RNA", at positions 2825 to 2984 of the family's 3401-position model. Lineage: Eukaryota; Metazoa; Arthropoda; Insecta; Lepidoptera; Papilionidae. The record is from RNAcentral.